Long non-coding RNA from Daphnia pulex (common water flea), 515 nucleotides. RefSeq lists it as uncharacterized. Lineage: Eukaryota; Metazoa; Arthropoda; Branchiopoda; Diplostraca; Daphniidae. The record is from RefSeq and is a predicted model, not a curated record. The transcript has 3 exons.
UCACUUUCCAUCCAUUAGAUCCUCAUGCUGUCAAAAGCCUAAAACUCAUGUUUGAAGCACACAUAUAGUGGUAUACAAAUGUGCGGAGAUAAGGUAUUUUCCCAUUACUGCUACCACAAAAACCACACUACGCCAAAUGCCUUGCUACAUCAUCACCCAUAUGAUAAAGCAUCAGGAAAUUUAUCCCAGCCGAGGAGUAAUGCAGUUGGUUGCUGUAAUUCCAAUAUUACGGUUUUUCAUCGUGAACAUUUCAUUGUGCUUCUUACUUCUUAGAAACAGCCAUGCAAUAUCCCCAUGGACAUCCUUGAGCCAAUGCUGGAUUUGUCCAUGACAGAAGAGAGAUUCCCACAAACGUUCUGAACUCCAUCCUUAUCUUCAAGACUCAUCCAGCUUCACUACUUCAGUGCUUCUUAUGCUGCUAGUCCUGCUACACAACUUUUCUUGCUUCACUGGCGAGUUGGAUCACUUCAGUUACUGUCACACACCUGCAGUCACUCACCAUGUGAUUAUGGCCA